This 391-nucleotide long non-coding RNA is filed under the name Mustela putorius furo (domestic ferret). RNAcentral describes it as "lncRNA (ENSMPUG00000025103.1)". The record is from RNAcentral. Lineage: Eukaryota; Metazoa; Chordata; Mammalia; Carnivora; Mustelidae.
UCCAGAAGUACCAUGUUCUGUCUCUCCAGUUUUCUGCUCUGGAGACUUCUCCAAGAAGAAGGUGCUCAGCAGUACCCCUCAGAACCAAGACCUUUGGACAGCUCCAGCCAGAGCCCCAGCCAACUAAACAAGAUUUCUUCCCCUAUUAUCACGUUUUCAAGUUCCCUAAGAUCCAUGCUUACCUCUCCCUGCAACAUCAAGAUGAGGGGAUCUCCAGCAGUCAGUCAGUGGAGAGGAGUCUCAACUUCCCCAUCCUCCUCUUGCCAAUAAGCACUUCUCUCCCUGUUGCCCUACACCCAAUCUUCCUCCUGAUUCCCUGCCAGCCACCCGCCCCCCACCCCGCCAAGUAAUGCUGCCACUUUUCUCCCCUGAUGUGGGUUAAGGAUUUCCA